This 136-nucleotide non-coding RNA is filed under the name Azorhizobium caulinodans. RNAcentral describes it as "TPP sequence". It matches the Rfam family "TPP riboswitch aptamer (THI element)". From Rfam's summary of the family: Vitamin B(1) in its active form thiamin pyrophosphate (TPP) is an essential coenzyme that is synthesised by coupling of pyrimidine and thiazole moieties in bacteria. The previously detected thiamin-regulatory element, thi box was extended, resulting in a new, highly conserved RNA secondary structure, the THI element, which is widely distributed in eubacteria and also occurs in some archaea. The record is from RNAcentral. Lineage: Bacteria; Pseudomonadati; Pseudomonadota; Alphaproteobacteria; Hyphomicrobiales; Xanthobacteraceae. RNAcentral also lists the same sequence under 1 other name.
UCUUAUUCCAAGGGGGGCCCCGCGAGGGGGCUGAGAUAUCGUCUUCCGGUCCGGCCGUAAUGGUCCCCGGCGCCACGAUGACCCUUCGAACCUGAUCCGGGUCAUGCCGGCGAAGGGAUCGGAAUCAGCCUGGCGC